RNAcentral lists this ribosomal RNA (621 nucleotides) under Microbacterium sp. Ri3Pw_6182. RNAcentral's name for it is "bacterial SSU rRNA". It matches the Rfam family "Bacterial small subunit ribosomal RNA", at positions 392 to 1022 of the family's 1533-position model. The record is from RNAcentral. Lineage: Bacteria; Bacillati; Actinomycetota; Actinomycetes; Micrococcales; Microbacteriaceae.
GCACGCCGCGUGAGGGAUGACGGCCUUCGGGUUGUAAACCUCUUUUAGCAGGGAAGAAGCGAAAGUGACGGUACCUGCAGAAAAAGCACCGGCUAACUACGUGCCAGCAGCCGCGGUAAUACGUAGGGUGCAAGCGUUAUCCGGAAUUAUUGGGCGUAAAGAGCUCGUAGGCGGUUUGUCACGUCUGCUGUGAAAACUGGAGGCUCAACCUCCAGCCUGCAGUGGGUACGGGCAGACUAGAGUGCGGUAGGGGAGAUUGGAAUUCCUGGUGUAGCGGUGGAAUGCGCAGAUAUCAGGAGGAACACCGAUGGCGAAGGCAGAUCUCUGGGCCGUAACUGACGCUGAGGAGCGAAAGGGUGGGGAGCAAACAGGCUUAGAUACCCUGGUAGUCCACCCCGUAAACGUUGGGAACUAGUUGUGGGGUCCAUUCCACGGAUUCCGUGACGCAGCUAACGCAUUAAGUUCCCCGCCUGGGGAGUACGGCCGCAAGGCUAAAACUCAAAGGAAUUGACGGGGACCCGCACAAGCGGCGGAGCAUGCGGAUUAAUUCGAUGCAACGCGAAGAACCUUACCAAGGCUUGACAUAUACGAGAACGCUGCAGAAAUGUAGAACUCUUUGGA